RNAcentral lists this ribosomal RNA (926 nucleotides) under uncultured bacterium. Its description in RNAcentral is "bacterial SSU rRNA". It matches the Rfam family "Bacterial small subunit ribosomal RNA", at positions 1 to 935 of the family's 1533-position model. The record is from RNAcentral.
AUUUUUUUUUUCUGAAGGCGUGGCUACACAUGCAAGUCGACGGCAGCACAGUAAGAGCUUGCUCUUACGGGUGGCGAGUGGCGGACGGGUGAGGAAUACAUCGGAAUCUACUUUUUCGUGGGGGAUAACGUAGGGAAACUUACGCUAAUACCGCAUACGACCUACGGGUGAAAGCAGGGGAUCUUCGGACCUUGCGCGAUUGAAUGAGCCGAUGUCGGAUUAGCUAGUUGGCGGGGUAAAGGCCCACCAAGGCGACGAUCCGUAGCUGGUCUGAGAGGAUGAUCAGCCACACUGGAACUGAGACACGGUCCAGACUCCUACGGGAGGCAGCAGUGGGGAAUAUUGGACAAUGGGCGCAAGCCUGAUCCAGCCAUACCGCGUGGGUGAAGAAGGCCUUCGGGUUGUAAAGCCCUUUUGUUGGGAAAGAAAUCCAGCCGGCUAAUACCUGGCUGGGAUGACGGUACCCAAAGAAUAAGCACCGGCUAACUUCGUGCCAGCAGCCGCGGUAAUACGAAGGGUGCAAGCGUUACUCGGAAUUACUGGGCGUAAAGCGUGCGUAGGUGGUCGUUUAAGUCUGUUGUGAAAGCCCUGGGCUCAACCUGGGAACUGCAGUGGAAACUGGACGACUAGAGUGUGGUAGAGGGUAGCGGAAUUCCUGGUGUAGCAGUGAAAUGCGUAGAGAUCAGGAGGAACAUCCAUGGCGAAGGCAGCUACCUGGACCAACACUGACACUGAGGCACGAAAGCGUGGGGGAGCAAACAGGAUUAGAUACCCUGGUAGUCCACGCCCUAAACGAUGCGAACUGGAUGUUGGGUGCAAUUUCGCACGCAGUAUCGAAAGCUAACGCCGUUAAGUUCGCCGCCUGGGGAGUACGGUCGCAGACUGAAACUUCAAAGGAAUUGACGGGGGCCCCGCACAAUCGGUGG